UUUCCGUAGGUGAACCUGCGGAAGGAUCAUUAAAUAAUUUAGAUGACCUCCUAGAACUUGUUCUAGUUAGGUUCAUUCUUUUUUACUGUGAACUGUUUUAAUUUUCAGCGUUUGAGGAAUGUCUUUUAGUCAUAGGGAUAGACUAUUAGAAUGUUAACCGAGCUGAAGUUAGGUUUAGACCUGGUAUCCUAUUAAUUAUUUACCAAAAGAAUUCAGUAUUAUUAUUGUAACAUAAGCGUAAAAAACUUAUAAAACAACUUUUAACAACGGAUCUCUUGGUUCUC
RNAcentral lists this unclassified non-coding RNA (284 nucleotides) under plant metagenome. Its description in RNAcentral is "partial contains small subunit ribosomal RNA, internal transcribed spacer 1, and 5.8S ribosomal RNA". The record is from RNAcentral.